CAGAGGGGGCAAGCGUUAUUCGGAAUUAUUGGGCGUAAAGGGCGCGUAGGCGGCUUUUCAAGUGACGGGUGAAAUCCCUCGGCUUAACCGAGGAACUGCCUGUCAGACUGGAAGGCUUGAGACCGGGAGAGGUGAGUGGAAUUCCCAGUGUAGCGGUGAAAUGCGUAGAUAUUGGGAGGAACACCAGUGGCGAAGGCGGCUCACUGGACCGGAACUGACGCUGAGGCGCGAAAGCGUGGGGAGCAAACAGGAUUAGAUACCCUGGUAGUCCACGCCGUAAACGAUGAGUGCUUGGUGUAGCGGGUAUCGACCCCUGCUGUGCCGAAGUCAACACAUUAAGCACUCCGCCUGGGGGAGUACGGUCGCAAGACUG
RNAcentral lists this ribosomal RNA (373 nucleotides) under uncultured organism. RNAcentral's name for it is "bacterial SSU rRNA". It matches the Rfam family "Bacterial small subunit ribosomal RNA", at positions 526 to 896 of the family's 1533-position model. The record is from RNAcentral.